Molecule: ribosomal RNA, 468 nt
Filed under: uncultured bacterium
Lineage: Bacteria
Description: partial 16S ribosomal RNA
Rfam family: Bacterial small subunit ribosomal RNA
Source: RNAcentral
GACGAACGCUGGCGGCGUGCUUAACACAUGCAAGUCGAACGGAAAGGCCCUGCUUUUGUGGGGUGCUCUAGUGGCGAACGGGUGAGUAACACGUGAGUAACCUGCCCUUGACUUUGGGAUAACUUCAGGAAACUGGGGCUAAUACCGGAUAGGAGCUCCUGCUGCAUGGUGGGGGUUGGAAAGUUUCGGCGGUUGGGGAUGGACUCGCGGCUUAUCAGCUUGUUGGUGGGGUAGUGGCUUACCAAGGCUUUGACGGGUAGCCGGCCUGGGAGGGUGACCGGCCACAUUGGGACUGAGAUACGGCCCAGACUCCUACGGGAGGCAGCAGUGGGGAAUAUUGCACAAUGGGCGGAAGCCUGAUGCAGCAACGCCGCGUGCGGGAUGACGGCCUUCGGGUUGUAAACCGCUUUCGCCUGUGACGAAGCGUGAGUGACGGUAAUGGGUAAAGAAGCACCGGCUAACUACGUG